CGCGUCUCUCGUCAAUUUCAGUCACUUACCCAGUUUUACAUGGAGCCAGAUAACAGCGAAGUGAAGUCCAAGAUGGAAGAUUAUGAAGUCAUAGAGCAGAUUGGGAGAGGAGCUUUUGGUUCUGCUUUUCUUGUUCUUCAUAAAACUGAGAAUAAAAAGUAUGUGUUGAAGAAGAUUCGCCUGGCCAAGCAGACUGAGAAGUUCAAGCAAACAGCUCACCAGGAGAUGAACUUGAUUGCAAACCUGAAAAACCCAUAUAUUGUGGAGUAUAAAGAUUCUUGGGUGGAAAAGGGAAGUUGUGUGUGCAUAGUGACAGCCUACUGUGAAGGUGGAGACAUGGCUGAGAUUAU
RNAcentral lists this unclassified non-coding RNA (350 nucleotides) under Hevea brasiliensis (rubber tree). The record is from RNAcentral. Lineage: Eukaryota; Viridiplantae; Streptophyta; Magnoliopsida; Malpighiales; Euphorbiaceae.